CAGAGCUUCCAGCUCCUGAUCACCAUCCUUCCCUCAACAACGGAGACGGCGGGCAUGCUUCAGCCAGCGAUAUGAGGAGCUGCUGUUUGGGCGCGUACUGAAGUACCGUGGCACCGUGAUCAUGGCAGGUGAAACCUGAGGAAGAAAAGCAUCAAGAGUGAGGAGGGCACAGCUCAGUGCUACAGCACAUGCUCAGCACAUCCAUGAAUCAAGAUGGCAGAGUGGUAGGACCACGAGCUCACCUCUCCUCGCAAAUACAACAAAACCACAACUGACUGCGAGAUAACCAUCAAAAAAAAAGACUAGACCUAGCAGAAAAGAUCUUCUGCAACUGGAAACAUAAAGAGGGAACCACAGCCAGAAGGUAGG
Long non-coding RNA from Camelus dromedarius (Arabian camel), 369 nucleotides. RefSeq lists it as uncharacterized. The transcript has 3 exons. The record is from RefSeq and is a predicted model, not a curated record. NCBI's taxonomy places the organism in Eukaryota, Metazoa, Chordata, Mammalia, Artiodactyla, Camelidae.